AUGACGUUGAUAGGCCGGGUGUGUAAGCGCAGCGAUGCGUUGAGCUAACCGGUACUAAUGAACCGUGAGGCUUAACCUUAC
This 81-nucleotide ribosomal RNA is filed under the name Klebsiella pneumoniae subsp. pneumoniae KPNIH17. RNAcentral describes it as "partial 23S ribosomal RNA". It matches the Rfam family "Bacterial large subunit ribosomal RNA", at positions 2847 to 2925 of the family's 2925-position model. The record is from RNAcentral. Lineage: Bacteria; Pseudomonadati; Pseudomonadota; Gammaproteobacteria; Enterobacterales; Enterobacteriaceae.